This 497-nucleotide ribosomal RNA is filed under the name uncultured bacterium. RNAcentral describes it as "partial 16S ribosomal RNA". It matches the Rfam family "Bacterial small subunit ribosomal RNA", at positions 28 to 507 of the family's 1533-position model. The record is from RNAcentral.
GAUGAACGCUGGCGGCGUGCCUAAUACAUGCAAGUCGAGCGAACGGACGAGAAGCUUGCUUUUCUGAUGUUAGCGGCGGACGGGUGAGUAACACGUGGAUAACCUACCUAUAAGACUGGGAUAACUUCGGGAAACCGGAGCUAAUACCGGAUAAUAUUUUGAACCGCAUGGUUCAAAAGUGAAAGACGGUCUUGCUGUCACUUAUAGAUGGAUCCGCGCUGCAUUAGCUAGUUGGUAAGGUAACGGCUUACCAAGGCAACGAUGCAUAGCCGACCUGAGAGGGUGAUCGGCCACACUGGAGCUGAGACACGGUCCAGACUCCUACGGGAGGCAGCAGUAGGGAAUCUUCCGCAAUGGGCGAAAGCCUGACGGAGCAACGCCGCGUGAGUGAUGAAGGUCUUCGGAUCGUAAAACUCUGUUAGUAGGGAAGAACAUAUGUGUAAGUAACUGUGCACAUCUUGACGGUACCUAAUCAGAAAGCCACGGCUAACUACGUG